RNAcentral lists this ribosomal RNA (499 nucleotides) under uncultured bacterium. Its description in RNAcentral is "bacterial SSU rRNA". It matches the Rfam family "Bacterial small subunit ribosomal RNA", at positions 28 to 526 of the family's 1533-position model. The record is from RNAcentral.
GACGAACGCUGGCGGCGUGCUUAACACAUGCAAGUCGAGCGGAAAGGCCUCUUUGGGGGUACUCGAGCGGCGAACGGGUGAGUAACACGUGAGUAAUCUGCCCUGCACCCUGGGAUAGCCACCGGAAACGGUGAUUAAUACUGGAUAUGAGACGUCACCGCAUGGUGGGGUUUGGAAAGUUUUUUUACGGUGUGGGAUGUGCUCGCGGCCUAUCAGCUUGUUGGUGGGGUAAUGGCCUACCAAGGCUUCGACGGGUAGCCGGCCUGAGAGGGUGACCGGUCACACUGGGACUGAGACACGGCCCAGACUCCUACGGGAGGCAGCAGUGGGGAAUAUUGGACAAUGGGCGGAAGCCUGAUCCAGCAACGCCGCGUGAGGGAUGACGGCCUUCGGGUUGUAAACCUCUUUCAGCAUAGACGAAGUUGUGCCUUUUUGGGUGCAGUGACGGUAUGUGCAGAAGAAGGACCGGCCAACUACGUGCCAGCCGCCGCCGUAAAAC